Molecule: ribosomal RNA, 460 nt
Filed under: uncultured bacterium
Lineage: Bacteria
Description: partial 16S ribosomal RNA
Rfam family: Bacterial small subunit ribosomal RNA
Source: RNAcentral
CCUACGGGAGGCAGCAGUGAGGAAUAUUGGUCAAUGGGCUUACGCCUGAACCAGCCAAGUCGCGUGAGGGAAGACUGCCCUAUGGGUUGUAAACCUCUUUUGUCAGGGAGCAAUUGGCGCUACGUGUAGCGUUAUCGAGAGUACCUGAAGAAAAAGCAUCGGCUAACUCCGUGCCAGCAGCCGCGGUAAUACGGAGGAUGCGAGCGUUAUCCGGAUUUAUUGGGUUUAAAGGGUGCGUAGGCGGAAUGCCAAGUCAGCGGUAAAAUCGCGGGGCUCAACCUCGCUCCGCCGUUGAAACUGGCGGUCUUGAGUGGGCGAGAGGGAUGCGGAAUGCGUGGUGUAGCGGUGAAAUGCAUAGAGAUCACGCAGAACUCCGAUUGCGAAGGCAGCAUACCGGCGCCCAACUGACGCUGAAGCUCGAAAGCGUGGGGAGCAAACAGGAUUAGAUACCCUGGUAGUC